AGCGAACGCUGGCGGCAGGCUUAACACAUGCAAGUCGAGCGGGCACUUUCGGGUGUCAGCGGCGGACGGGUGAGUAACGCGUGGGAACGUGCCCUCUGGUUCGGAAUAACUCAGGGAAACUUGAGCUAAUACCGGAUACGCCCUUUUGGGGAAAGGCUUGCUGCCGGAGGAUCGGCCCGCGUCUGAUUAGCUAGUUGGUGAGGUAACGGCUCACCAAGGCGACGAUCAGUAGCUGGUCUGAGAGGAUGAUCAGCCACACUGGGACUGAGACACGGCCCAGACUCCUACGGGAGGCAGCAGUGGGGAAUAUUGGACAAUGGGCGCAAGCCUGAUCCAGCCACGCCGCGUGAGUGAUGAAGGCCUUAGGGUUGUAAAGCUCUUUUAUCCGGGACGAUAAUGACGGUACCGGAGGAAUAAGCCCCGGCUAACUUCGU
RNAcentral lists this ribosomal RNA (434 nucleotides) under uncultured bacterium. RNAcentral's name for it is "partial 16S ribosomal RNA". It matches the Rfam family "Bacterial small subunit ribosomal RNA", at positions 29 to 506 of the family's 1533-position model. The record is from RNAcentral.